Molecule: ribosomal RNA, 394 nt
Filed under: uncultured Lactobacillus sp.
Lineage: Bacteria; Bacillati; Bacillota; Bacilli; Lactobacillales; Lactobacillaceae
Description: bacterial SSU rRNA
Rfam family: Bacterial small subunit ribosomal RNA
Source: RNAcentral
AACAGAUUUACUUCGGUAAUGACGUUAGGAAAGCGAGCGGCGGAUGGGUGAGUAACACGUGGGGAACCUGCCCCAUAGUCUGGGAUACCACUUGGAAACAGGUGCUAGUACCGGAUAAGAAAGCAGAUCGCAUGAUCAGCUUUUAAAAGGCGGCGUAAGCUGUCGCUAUGGGAUGGCCCCGCGGUGCAUUAGCUAGUUGGUAAGGUAAAGGCUUACCAAGGCGAUGAUGCAUAGCCGAGUUGAGAGACUGAUCGGCCACAUUGGGACUGAGACACGGCCCAAACUCCUACGGGAGGCAGCAGUAGGGAAUCUUCCACAAUGGACGCAAGUCUGAUGGAGCAACGCCGCGUGAGUGAAGAAGGUUUUCGGAUCGUAAAGCUCUGUUGUUGGUGAA